Molecule: ribosomal RNA, 200 nt
Filed under: uncultured eukaryote
Lineage: Eukaryota
Description: partial 18S ribosomal RNA
Rfam family: Eukaryotic small subunit ribosomal RNA
Source: RNAcentral
GCUCCAAUAGCGUAUAUUAAAAGUUGUUGCGGUUAAAAAAGCUCGUAGUUGGAUUUCUGCUUAGUGCGACCGGUCCACCUUAGGGUUGGUAUCAGGUACGUACCGGGCAUAUUCCUAGGAAAUACGGCUGCGCCUCGUUGUGUGGCCUGUUCCUGGGUCUUUUUACUUUGAGGAAAUUAGAGUGUUUCAAGCAGGCAUCC